Molecule: ribosomal RNA, 490 nt
Filed under: uncultured bacterium
Lineage: Bacteria
Description: partial 16S ribosomal RNA
Rfam family: Bacterial small subunit ribosomal RNA
Source: RNAcentral
AUCGAACGCUGGCGGCAUGCUUUACACAUGCAAGUCGAACGGCAGCACGAAAGAGCUUGCUCUUUUGGUGGCGAGUGGCGAACGGGUGAGUAAUGCAUCGGAACGUACCGAGUAAUGGGGGAUAACUGUCCGAAAGGAUAGCUAAUACCGCAUACGCUUUGAGAAGGAAAGUGGGGGCUCUUCGGACCUCACGUUAUUCGAGCGGCCGAUGUCUGAUUAGCUAGUUGGUGGGGUAAAGGCCUACCAAGGCGACGAUCAGUAGCGGGUCUGAGAGGAUGAUCCGCCACACUGGGACUGAGACACGGCCCAGACUCCUACGGGAGGCAGCAGUGGGGAAUUUUGGACAAUGGGCGCAAGCCUGAUCCAGCCAUGCCGCGUGUCUGAAGAAGGCCUUCGGGUUGUAAAGGACUUUUGUUAGGGAAGAAAAGGAUAGUGUUAAUACCAUUAUCUGCUGACGGUACCUAAAGAAUAAGCACCGGCUAACUACGUG